UCACAGGCUUCACAUUCUCAGAGUGGGUUGCUGUUGUUGUCCUCUGCGUCCUGUGGUCCUCCACCGGACAGAAGGGAACGGAAGCUCAGAAAGCCAGCAGCCCAAAUCCAUGCAGCUAGUCAGUGAACGCUGAACUCAAGGACACACCCCUCCAAGUCUGUCGCUUGCGCUGUUGAACACUGCUCCUCACUAACGGCAAAGGGUGGCAUUGGGCAAAAAUAAGUAAACUGGAAGACUUUUAUUUUUGGUACAAUUUUAUACUUCUACUUCUCUGCAAAGAACAAAUAAACACAAUGUGUCCAGCCAGAUAAAUGACUCUAAUAAUAAGCUUUCGGCCCCAGAGUCAGGAACCGAGUCAGGCCAGGAUGACUUCAACUGCUGCCUGGAACAGAAUGACCUGGAGGAAUAAGCAAUGGGCCGUUGCCCUUAACAACCUGGUGACUGUCACUCACACUUCUGUAAAACCUCAUUUGCUUGCCUGCCCCACCUUGUGGUUUUAGAGAAGACAAACUGGACCUGGUACCAAAGCCUUUCGGGAGCUGUCCUGGCUUCGGUCCAUGGGUGACAUCUCUUCUCUUCCGCUCUGAUUGGUGUCAGAGUGCUUAUUCCAGAAAGAUCUGCAACAGUAGCCUCUCUGGCAGCUCAAUGUGGCCAAACAACCAUUCACUGGUCAACAGAAUGUGACUGUAGGUGCCUUUUCAAAAGAAAAUGGAACGUGCUCUUUUUUCCUUACUUUACCUUUCAGCCAAAACAAAGCCUUAGUCCUUAGCUACCUCAAUUAUACAGAUUGUCAACACAUGCUAUGCUGAGGGUAAGGAUACACUAGAAAAACCUGGGUCCUAGCACCGUGAAACUGAUGUAUUAACCCUGGAAGAAGUCAUUGUUGCUUUGGGUUCUUGUUACAACUUUAUUCUAGUGCAACCGGGAGGCAGCAGGAAGAUGAUCCAGUCAAGCGUCUCCGGGUUGCAAACAACAGAAACGCAAUCCAGAAUGGUCCAACCAAUGAGGAAGCUUGUGGCUCUUGAAAGCAGGAAGUCUGGAGUGGGCAGGCUUCAGGGGUGACCUAAUGCAUGGCGCAGGCUACCUUAGAACUUUCGUGACUCUUGUUGCAGUUCUUUUAUUGGCCUCAUCAACAAAUAAAAGAACAGAAAGAGUAA
Molecule: long non-coding RNA, 1157 nt
Organism: Peromyscus eremicus (cactus mouse)
Lineage: Eukaryota; Metazoa; Chordata; Mammalia; Rodentia; Cricetidae
Exons: 3
Source: RefSeq, a predicted model, not a curated record